CUUCUCUGCAUUAACUUGUGGGAAGAGCUCUUAAAGCAAGUUCCCAGAAAUAUGAAACUUAGUGCUUCACAAUCUAAUGGAAUAACACCAGCAGAAACUGCUACUAAAACAGACUAAUAUGUUUAAAAGAUACACAUGCAAACAAAAAUCCUUGAAAUACCCAUGACAUCUGCAAAAACAGAAGGUGAUGAACAACAAUUACUGAAAGCCCAUCAGAAAUAUUAAUCAGAUAUGAGAGCUUGAGGAGGAUGGAAGUUGCAGCAGAGUAACACCAGACCAGAAGAUGAAGAAUCAGUCUAGUAUUACUUUCAGAAGAUUUCAGAACGUCUACUCAGCUUUGCCUGAAUGACUGUUACAUAGCUUCAAAAGUCUGAAGAUUGAUUACAUAUCCAACUGAUGGGUUUGCAUAACGCUGUUAGCUGAAAAGAUAUAUUGGAAAUGUGAACUGAUGAAGUAACACGAUUUUUGAAAUUGCAGAUAGCAAGAAACUGCUGGUUAUCAACAACAUCAGGUGCUGCAGGUCUGUCCCACUAGCGAGAUGUUCGAUAUUGAUGGAGCUGGACUUCUGCCAGCCAGCAAAGAAGGCAUCAGAGGCAUUGCCUGAUCCAACAGAUGGUGUGGGUGAUAGACUCUGAAGUCACAAGGCCCUGUUGGACAUUGAUAAUAUAGAAUACUGCAAAUCUGAGUCACCAGUUCAUUGGUGAAUCCGACUGUGGGGGAACUGUGUGGCCUUGGUUUUGGGUCUGACUAGGCCCUCACGCCUUGGGGUCACCCGUUGUGGCUGCCGAGGAAGGAGACGUCGGAGCUGGCUGGGUGCCAUUGGAUUCCGUACUGUGUUGGGGGUGAGCUCCUCCCAUCAGUGUCGCCAUCCAGUAUUCACUUGGUGGAAGACAAGCUGGAUUGUGUUUCAUCUGCAGCUGCACUUGCAUGACAUCAGGAGUGCUGCGGGCUUGUUCUUGCAGAACUGUGGCUCCCGGACAACACCCAUGCACCAUCCAUCUACAGGCCAUGACACUCAGGGACCUGGGUUAUAUUAUUACAUAUGUUUUUAACUGUAUAUUCUUUUUGCUAUCAUAAUUAUAUGUGUUGUGUGUGACUUUUGGUACUGUGUUUUGUACCUUGGCCCCCGAGAAACACUGUUUUGUUUGACUGUAUUCAUGUGUAUAGUUGAAUGACAAUUAAAUUUGAACUUUAAAUUGAACUUCAGAAAUAGCUCUGUCAAUUGGGGAUGGUUGGGCCUGGCCUUGGGCCUCUCUGCUUGGAAACUAACCAAAGUCACUGAGAGCCCCAAGGGUAAUAUCUAACCCUUAAUGGAGUAGUUCUUGUAUCAAUGCACAGUUCAAUAUUAGUUUUUGACUUUUAGCUCUUGGGCAAUUGUGAAAUAAUAAUUUGCAUGAAUGAAAGAAAUUGUGUUUCUUUGCACUUACUGUGAAUACCUGCAAUGAAAGUGAAU
Molecule: long non-coding RNA, 1453 nt
Organism: Mobula hypostoma (lesser devil ray)
Lineage: Eukaryota; Metazoa; Chordata; Chondrichthyes; Myliobatiformes; Myliobatidae
Exons: 3
Source: RefSeq, a predicted model, not a curated record